This 498-nucleotide ribosomal RNA is filed under the name uncultured bacterium. RNAcentral describes it as "partial 16S ribosomal RNA". It matches the Rfam family "Bacterial small subunit ribosomal RNA", at positions 27 to 507 of the family's 1533-position model. The record is from RNAcentral.
GGACGAACGCUGGCGGCGUGCCUAAUCCAUGCAAGUUGAGCGCUGAAGGUUGGUACUUGUACCAACUGGAUGAGCAGCGAACGGGUGAGUAACGCGUGGGGAAUCUGCCUUUGAGCGGGGGACAACAUUUGGAAACGAAUGCUAAUACCGCAUAAAAACUUUAAACACAAGUUUUAAGUUUGAAAGAUGCAAUUGCAUCACUCAAAGAUGAUCCCGCGUUGUAUUAGCUAGUUGGUGAGGUAAAGGCUCACCAAGGCGAUGAUACAUAGCCGACCUGAGAGGGUGAUCGGCCACAUUGGGACUGAGACACGGCCCAAACUCCUACGGGAGGCAGCAGGAGGGAAUCUUCGGCAAUGGACGAAAGUCUGACCGAGCAACGCCGCGUGAGUGAAGAAGGUUUUCGGAUCGUAAAACUCUGUUGGUAGAGAAGAACGUUGGUGAGAGUGGAAAGCUCAUCAAGUGACGGUAACUACCCAGAAAGGGACGGCUAACUACGUG